GCGCCCCUAGCUCAACGGUAGAGCACCAGAUUCUUAAUCUGGAGGUUGGGUUGUUCGAGUCACCCGGGGCGCAC
RNAcentral lists this transfer RNA (74 nucleotides) under uncultured Acidimicrobiaceae bacterium. RNAcentral describes it as "tRNA-Lys". It matches the Rfam family "tRNA". From Rfam's summary of the family: Transfer RNA (tRNA) molecules are approximately 80 nucleotides in length. Lineage: Bacteria; Bacillati; Actinomycetota; Acidimicrobiia; Acidimicrobiales; Acidimicrobiaceae. The record is from RNAcentral. RNAcentral also lists the same sequence under 1 other name.